Molecule: non-coding RNA, 1736 nt
Organism: Phalacrocorax carbo (great cormorant)
Lineage: Eukaryota; Metazoa; Chordata; Aves; Suliformes; Phalacrocoracidae
Source: RefSeq, a predicted model, not a curated record
UGCUUGUACCCUGGCCAGAUUUCAAUGCGCCAAGUUAUAUUCAAUUUUCCUAAAAAUAUGCUUUUAUUGUAGAAUAGGUAUUCCUUCCUGCUGGACUCAACCUCAAAUAUUGUGUGUUUUAAAAGGCUGUAUCAUUCCAGCAUUUAAAUUUUUCCUUUGCAAAAGUUGAGUCUCCUUUUAAAUCACAGGUGAGAAAGACUUUGAGACCCUCCAGAGUACAUGGAGCCACAGAAAUGCCAUCAAGUUACUGGUACUAAUGAACAAGAGGAUUUCUUGCAGCUCCUUUUAGGUCAUUUGGACAUUGCUCAAGCACACCUGAAGAGUCAAAACCUGGUGAGGUCACUGUACCUGGCUCCCUGCCCAAGGAUGUUGGCACCAAGAAAUUGGCACUGUUUUGAUAGACAAUGGAGAGGGAUUCAUUUGACUUGUGCAAUGGCCAGUCUGCAGGUGCUGAAAAACCUGGAAGUGAACCUUUUUUAUUAGAGGUACCUUUCCAAAGGAGAACACAUUUUUUUGAUAGCAGUGUUAACUGGAGCACAAUGCCUGCUUUCCUUCAAGAGGUCCUUCAGGCCAGCUGGAGCUCGUGGAGGUGGGUGUGGUGCUGCAGGCCACAGGCAGUGGGGAUGCUCAAGGAGAGGAGCCAGCCAGGCCACCUGGUCUCCUGCAGAAGCACAACCUCAACACCCCGGUGCAGAACUCCUUCCCAGCACCAAGAGGCUUAAUUGAGGCUCCUUGGUCUUAAUUUUUCAGAGGACAGACCUACUUAUCUCCAAACAGCUUCAGGGAGAGAUGGCGGCACUUGGGAACAGUACAAAUCAAAGUAAUUGUUAUUUAUUUCAAUUUUUUAAAGCCUGAAUUGCACAAGUACCUCUGUGAUUGAUAAGGUUUAUGACAGUAGUGCCUAGGGAGCUUCUUGGAAUGAGUUUCCCAUGCAGAUGGGAAGUGAAAGUCUUCCUCUCGCUGUUCCCAGUUUCUUUCCUUUCCCAGACAUGGUGAAGCUCUUCCGCUUUCUGGGCCCCUCCUUUGACCCCAGAUUAUCAACCCAGUGUGUAACUCCAUUGUGCUUUUCAUUCUUGUUGGAAAUGGCAGCGGUUCUGGGCUAGCCUGAUUUCCAGCACCAUUUCUGUGUGGAUUUGCUGAUGUUGAAUUAAGAACAAACUUAGCCUUUCCCUCAGUAGUAGCAUUCAUAGGGUUGUCUGCCAUUACCUGGUUCCUAUUGUAUUAAAAUUUGCCUGGAAUUAAGCAUCUUUCAGGCUUCUACUGUGUGUUCUUGGUUUGUUUGAAAUUAGCCAGAAGGUUUAAACUUGGGAAGUGGUAGGAGAACGCAGACUUAGGAAACCAAUACGUAUCAUUUUGCUGAGAAACCAGGCUGAAAAUAAUGCUGUUUUUUCACUAUUUGUGCUUUGAUUGCUUUAGUGCUGGUAUCUGUAAAGGGUGUUUUGUUCUUAUUUUUAAUGCUUUUUAACUAAAGGAAUAUAAAAUGAUAAAUAAUCCAUGUGUAUGCUCUGUCUUGGCAUGUCAAUUUUAUUAUUGUUAUUAUUGGUACCUACAAUGUUUCUCUUGCUGUUGCCUAUGUAAUAGUGUCUCCCAAACUUGUUGUGGUUCCUUACAGAGAUUUCUUUUUAUUUUUUUUUAAAUACAACCUCUAAUUGAAAUAACAGUAAAACUCCAAUUACUUGCAUAUGUAUAAGGUGAAAUUGUAUUUUGUCUGCUUGUGACUUUUCACAUAAGAGCUA